This 460-nucleotide ribosomal RNA is filed under the name uncultured bacterium. Its description in RNAcentral is "partial 16S ribosomal RNA". It matches the Rfam family "Bacterial small subunit ribosomal RNA", at positions 338 to 795 of the family's 1533-position model. The record is from RNAcentral.
CCUACGGGAGGCAGCAGUGAGGAAUAUUGGUCAAUGGGCGAGAGCCUGAACCAGCCAAGUCGCGUGAAGGAUGACGGCCCUACGGGUUGUAAACUUCUUUUGUCAGGGAGCAAUUGAGUCCACGUGUGGGCUUAGCGAGAGUACCUGAAGAAAAAGCAUCGGCUACCUCGGUGCCAGAGGCCGCGGUAAUACGGAGGAUGCGAGCGUUAUCCGGAUUUAUUGGGUUUAAGGGGUGCGUGGGCGGACUGUUAGGUCAGCGGUAAAAGCCCGGGGCUAAACCCCGGCGAGCCGUGGAAACUGGCUGUCGUGAGAUGUCGAGAGGUAUGCGGAAUGCGCAGUGUAGCGGUGAAAUGCUUAGAUAUUGCGAAGAACCCCGAUUGCGAAGGCAGCAUACCGGCGGCGAUCUGACGCUGAGGCACGAAAGCGUGGGUAUCGAACAGGAUUAGAUACCCUAGUAGUC